RNAcentral lists this ribosomal RNA (272 nucleotides) under uncultured prokaryote. RNAcentral's name for it is "partial 16S ribosomal RNA". It matches the Rfam family "Bacterial small subunit ribosomal RNA", at positions 524 to 794 of the family's 1533-position model. The record is from RNAcentral.
UACGGUAGGUGGCGAGCGUUGUCCGGAUUUACUGGGCGUAAAGGGAGCGUAGGCGGACUUUUAAGUGAGAUGUGAAAUACCCGGGCUCAACUUGGGUGCUGCAUUUCAAACUGGAAGUCUAGAGUGCAGGAGAGGAGAAUGGAAUUCCUAGUGUAGCGGUGAAAUGCGUAGAGAUUAGGAAGAACACCAGUGGCGAAGGCGAUUCUCUGGACUGUAACUGACGCUGAGGCUCGAAAGCGUGGGGGGCAAACAGGAUUAGAUACCCCCGUAGU